UUGACCUCGGAUCAGGUAGGAAUACCCGCUGAA
RNAcentral lists this ribosomal RNA (33 nucleotides) under Neurospora intermedia. RNAcentral's name for it is "partial 28S ribosomal RNA". The record is from RNAcentral. RNAcentral also lists the same sequence under 12 other names. Lineage: Eukaryota; Fungi; Ascomycota; Sordariomycetes; Sordariales; Sordariaceae.